UACGUAGGGUGCAAGCGUUAAUCGGAAUCACUGGGCGUAAAGGGCGCGUAGGCGGCCAAGCAAGUCCUGGGUGAAAUCCCUCGGCUCAACCGAAGAACUGCCUCGGAAACUGCAUGGCUCGAGGCCGGGAGAGGGUAGCGGAAUUCCCAGUGUAGCGGUGAAAUGCGUAGAUAUUGGGAGGAACACCGGUGGCGAAGGCGGCUACCUGGACCGGUUCUGACGCUGAUGCGCGAAAGCGUGGGGAGCAAACAGG
RNAcentral lists this ribosomal RNA (253 nucleotides) under uncultured bacterium. Its description in RNAcentral is "partial 16S ribosomal RNA". It matches the Rfam family "Bacterial small subunit ribosomal RNA", at positions 524 to 776 of the family's 1533-position model. The record is from RNAcentral.